GUCUUAGUGCAACAACUUCCCUCACACCCCAGACUUUAAAGAGUGAGAGAGAAAGAGAGAGAGAGAUAGAGAGAGAGUGAGAGAGAGAGAGAGAGAGAAUGAGAGAGAGAGAGAGAGGCGAAAUCAGGUGACGUUGUUGCCGACGUUAGGCUCUCCUCGGUCCCUUCCUCGCUGCUUACCGGCAAUUUUCCCCAAACCCACAUCUCUAGGGGUGUUCAUCAGGUUUUGUUUUCGGGUUUCGAGUUUUUAGGGUCGGGUUGUUCGGGUUUUUGGCUUAGAAAAAGUGACCCCUAUAACCGACCCGUUAAAAGUUCGGGUUGGUCGAGUUUAGGUUACUAGUACAAGUUGUUCGGUUUUCAGGUUUAGAUGUAAAAUGAAAAUAAAUAUUUUUUUUGUUAUAAAAUAUUAUCAAAAUUCAUGUUGCUAUUAAAAAAUAUCGAUUAAAAUUCAAACAUCAUUUAACAAUAUGAUAUUAUAAUGUUCAAAAGUCUCAAAACUUAAUGUUUCAAAAACUAUAGACUCCAAACAAAAACACAUCUAUAAUACAGAAGACAAUAAAUGUUCGGGGUCUGGUUUGGGUAACUCUGGUUUGGGUUUUCCUAGUAUUCUCUAAUUCGGGUUCGGGUGGCUUUGAAUUCAGGUCAGGUUUCAUGUUUUUGGAUAAAAAUGAACAACCCUACACAUUUCGUCAUGGCAACCCUUCUCCUUCAUGCUUCAAUAUAAAUAGCGGUCAUGAUAUUCGGCUAAAUGUUCUUCUAAUAUUGUUAGUAUGUAGAUGUUUAUAACCAAUUUUGAAUAAUUAAUUUCGUUUUUUUUUUUUUUGAACGGCUAAUUUCUUUAAUCCUCUGUUGUUUGUGAAACUUGAACCUAAGACCUUCCCCUUUCCAACCUAGAUGUUUUUAAAAGCUUUGCCAAUAAACCACCACCUCAUUAGUAAUUAAUUUCGUUUUAAUAUUAACAAGUUUAAAUACAUAAAAUCACCUAUUUAUUCCCUAAAACAUGGGUUGCGAAUCUUUUGUGUUAGGAUGAGAUGCUAUAGCACGAAAUUAACACUACAAUAGGUAUGUUUGGUAUAGAGUUUUUAGGAGCUUCUAGCUUUAACCUUUUAAGAAAAAACACCUACUCAAUAAAAAGCCUUGUUUGGUUGAAGGAGCUUGAAUCUUUUGGUUGAACGCUCUUACUAGUAGCGUUUAGAAGGAGCUACAAGCUUUUAGAGAAAAAUGACUAUUUUAACCUCUAAAGAUAAUGGACUUUUAAUGCAUAAACUUUUCAAAUUUUUAGUUAUGUCCAUUUUGGUCAUUUUAUUAAAAGCUCCAGCUACUCUGCCAAACACCAAAUAUAUCUAAAAAGCUACAACUACUAGCUAACAGCUACCAGCUUCCAACCAUCAGCUACCAGAUUCCAGCCACCAACUACUUUUGCCAAACAUACCCAAUACCCUAACAAAGAGAAACAAAACAAAAAUAUGACUAUUUGUUUGGUUUGGUUUGGUUUGGUUUGGUUUGGCCCGUGAAGCUUUAUCCACAGUACAAACUUUCAAAUAGCAAGGUUACAAAAAUGGUGUAAGAAGGCUUCUCGAUUAUGGAAAAUCUACAUAAUAACGUUUAUUUAUAAAGGAAAAACAUAGUGUAUUAAGAUUGCUCUCUUCUUAUAUUUUUAUCGUAUGAGACAAUUAAUUCUAGAUUUUUUUUAACGACGAAAGAUUCUAUAAUUAUUAAUAACUCCAUCGAUUAGAAUCUCGUCCAGAUUCAAGAAACAUGGGGCGUUUAUUCACUGAAGGCUUUGAAAAAUACUAGAAUGUCUGGAAUAAAUUGGAAUUUAAAGAAAGUGAAAUUAAUUCUAUUAAUAAAUUGUAAAACAUUUGAUUGAUAAGAGAUCUG
RNAcentral lists this long non-coding RNA (1880 nucleotides) under Helianthus annuus (common sunflower). Its description in RNAcentral is "hypothetical non coding rna". The record is from RNAcentral. Lineage: Eukaryota; Viridiplantae; Streptophyta; Magnoliopsida; Asterales; Asteraceae.